Molecule: ribosomal RNA, 503 nt
Filed under: uncultured bacterium
Lineage: Bacteria
Description: partial 16S ribosomal RNA
Rfam family: Bacterial small subunit ribosomal RNA
Source: RNAcentral
AUUGAACGCUGGCGGCAGGCUUAACACAUGCAAGUCGAGCGGGGUGAUGGUGCUUGCACUAUCACUUAGCGGCGGACGGGUGAGUAAUGCUUAGGAAUCUGCCUAUUAGUGGGGGACAACAUCUCGAAAGGGAUGCUAAUACCGCAUACGUCCUACGGGAGAAAGCAGGGGAUCACUUGUGACCUUGCGCUAAUAGAUGAGCCUAAGUCGGAUUAGCUAGUUGGUGGGGUAAAGGCCUACCAAGGCGACGAUCGGUAGCGGGUCUGAGAGGAUGAUCCGCCACACUGGGACUGAGACACGGCCCAGACUCCUACGGGAGGUAGCAGUGGGGAAUAUUGGACAAUGGGGGGAACCCUGAUCCAGCCAUGCCGCGUGUGUGAAGAAGGCCUUAUGGUUGUAAAGCACUUUAAGCGGGGAGGAGGCUCUUUUGGUUAAUACCCAAGAUGAGUGGACGUUACUCGCAGAAUAAGCACCGGCUAACUCUGUGCCAGCCGCCGCGGUAA